UGAAGAAGUUGCUUUCGGGCUGUGCGGC
This 28-nucleotide non-coding RNA is filed under the name Mus musculus (house mouse). The record is from RNAcentral. Lineage: Eukaryota; Metazoa; Chordata; Mammalia; Rodentia; Muridae.